GCCGGAGUGGUGGAAUUGGUAGACACGCCAUCUUGAGGGGGUGGUGAGGAAACUCGUGCUGGUUCGAGUCCAGUCUCCGGCACCA
Molecule: transfer RNA, 85 nt
Filed under: Mariprofundus sp.
Lineage: Bacteria; Pseudomonadati; Pseudomonadota; Candidatius Mariprofundia; Mariprofundales; Mariprofundaceae
Description: tRNA-Leu
Rfam family: tRNA
About the family: Transfer RNA (tRNA) molecules are approximately 80 nucleotides in length. Their secondary structure includes four short double-helical elements and three loops (D, anti-codon, and T loops).
Source: RNAcentral